CUCACCGCCCUGAACUGUAUUAUAGAGAAGGCCUCACCGCCCCUGACCUGUAUUAUAGAGAAGACUCCUCACCGCCCCUAACCUGUAUUAUAGAGAAGACUCCUCACCGCCCUGAACUGUAUUAUAGAGAAGACUCCUCACCGCCCCAACCUGUAUUAUAGAGAAGACUCCUCACCACCCCUGAACUGUAUUAUAGAGAAGACUCCUCACCGCCCCUGAACUGUAUUAUAGAGAAGGCUCCUCACCGCCCCUGACCUGUAUUAUAGAGAAGGCUCCUCACCGCCCCAACCUGUAUUAUAGAGAAGGCUCCUCACCGCCCCUGACCUGUAUUAUAGAGAAGGCUCCUCACCACCCCUGACCUGUAUUAUAGAGAAGGCUCCUCACCACCCCUGACCUGUAUUAUAGAGAAGACUCCUCACCGCCCCUAACCUGUAUUAUAGAGAAGACUCCUCACCACCCCUGAACUGUAUUAUAGAGAAGACUCCUCACCGCCCCUGACCUGUAUUAUAGAGAAGACUCCUCACCACCCCUGACCUGUAUUAUAGAGAAGACUCCUCACCACCCCUGACCUGUAUUAUAGAGAAGGCUCCUCACC
Molecule: long non-coding RNA, 595 nt
Filed under: Bos grunniens (domestic yak)
Lineage: Eukaryota; Metazoa; Chordata; Mammalia; Artiodactyla; Bovidae
Description: lncRNA (ENSBGRG00000006984.1)
Source: RNAcentral